GGCGAUAUGGCCGAGCGGUCUAAGCCGCCAGAAUCAGGAGGAUUUCAACCCUCUUCCUUAUCUGGUCCUCACGGGCGUGGGUUCGAAUCCCACUGUCGUCA
This is a transfer RNA of Dichomitus squalens LYAD-421 SS1, 101 nucleotides long. It matches the Rfam family "tRNA". From Rfam's summary of the family: Transfer RNA (tRNA) molecules are approximately 80 nucleotides in length. The record is from Rfam. Lineage: Eukaryota; Fungi; Basidiomycota; Agaricomycetes; Polyporales; Polyporaceae.